This 582-nucleotide ribosomal RNA is filed under the name uncultured bacterium. Its description in RNAcentral is "bacterial SSU rRNA". It matches the Rfam family "Bacterial small subunit ribosomal RNA", at positions 386 to 960 of the family's 1533-position model. The record is from RNAcentral.
ACGCAUUGACGCCGCGUGAAGGAUGAAGGCCUACGGGUUGUAAACUUCUGUUAAGCGGGAAGAAAACUCUAUUUCUAAUACAAAUAGAUAUGACGGUACCGCUAGAGAAAGCACUGGCUAAACUCGUGCCAGCAGCCGCGGUAAUACGAGUGGUGCAAGCAUUAUUCGGAAUCAUUGGGCGCAAAGGGUGCGUAGGUGGCUUAUUAAGUUUACUGUUAAAUGUCUCGGCCCAACCGAGAACCUGCGGUGAAUACUGGUAAGCUAGAGGAUGAUAGAGAGAAGUGGAAUUCUCGGAGUAGCGGUAAAAUGCGUAGAUCUCGAGAGGAACAUCGAUGGCGAAAGCAGCUUCUUGGAUCAAUCCUGACACUGAUGCACGAAAGCGUGGGGAGCAAACAGGAUUAGAUACCCUGGUAGUCCACGCCGUAAACAAUGAUCACUUGAUGUAGGUUCUGCUUUUUGCGGAGUCAGUAUCGUAGCUAACGCGUUAAGUGAUCCGNCUGGGAACUACGAUCGCAAGAUUAAAACUCAAAGGGAUUGACGGGGGCCCGCACAACGGUGGAACUGUGGUUAAUUCGAAACUAC